AUUAAAUGUAAAUAACACUCGGAUGAGAAGAUGAAAACAAGCUCCUGGUCUUGUUCAUGGGGGGGAAAGGGUGGUGAAUUCUCCCUCUCUGUAGUAUGGCAGAGUUAAGUUUCUGCUUUCCCUUGGUCUGACGAUUUUGCCUUUUUGUGGUGGGAUUCCAGCUAAUGCUGCAAAGCUUUCAGGUUCAAUGGGACCAUCACUCUCUGCAGUUUAUCAGUCUUUGGGCGAUGGUCGCACACUACCUUCCUGCAGAAGCCAUGGAAACAAUGGCUUUAAACAUCCAUUUGCUCAGGAUUUUGUGUGACAUUAUAUGUGUGUGCUUCACAUGUCUGCAAAAAGAGAGGUACCUCAGAAACAACACCUACUAUGGUCUUCAAACACUGUUUGACAAAAAACAGAUGAGAGGAUAAAGAAUUAAGAAGUUUCCAUUGCAAGGAUUGUGAAGCUAUCCAACAUUUUAACAAGGCUAUUGUUAAUGCUUUGGAAAAGCUUUUCUUUAAUCAGAUAUUUAAUGCUGCAGCAAUCAGAACAGAAUAAUAGUGAUUCUUUAGCAGCUUGGAAAAUAAGGACAAUGGCUACUGCAGUGUGUAGCAGUGAUCCUUAACUGUCUAACAGCUAAACACCUAUUGAGAGCAAAGGAAGAUGUGUUUCCCCUCCAUUUUCAAGAGUUUCCAUCAUCCUCUACUAUUUUUGACAAGAAUUUACUUGUUAUUGCAAUGAUGAAUAUCUUAUCUUGCUGUGAUCGCUGAUAUCUUUCCUAUUUAAUGAGAUAAAACCUGGAAGGGUCAAGAAGAUCACCAAAUUCUUUUAUGACUGGGGACCAUAUGCCCUUUUUCUUUAAAUAACUACAUAUUGAAUGUCCUCUUCAAACAGCUUAGCUACUUGAAUUACAGGUUGCAGUCUGACCCUGGAAUUUUGUCAGGGAAAAUUUGAUUAAAGUUAUUUCCACAUGCUCUGAUUUAUGCAAUAUCUUCUUUGUUUGUAGCUUAAGAAAUAGGAGUGCCACGAAACAUUUUUUUUGCCAUCAGCAAGCAUAUUACAGAUCUUCACUGAAAUCAUAUACUUUUGUCUGAAGUUCUAACUUUCUGUGGCUCUAUGAAUAGCCACAGAAAUAAGAUGCCUGUGGCCAUGAGGGACAUAGUGAAUACAGGUCUCUAAGUGUUUCAUAAUUGCAUAGAAGAGAACAAAUUCAAAACAUGUUUUUGAAGGAGAUACACCACAGAAUAUCUUAGAGCCAAAUCAGGACAAGAAUUUCUUCUGAGAGAAGAAAGUUAAUUUUCAAAUUCUUCCUCUAAAUAAAACAUGAACUUUAGGGACCUAAUUUAGAUUU
Molecule: long non-coding RNA, 1330 nt
Filed under: Cyanistes caeruleus (blue tit)
Lineage: Eukaryota; Metazoa; Chordata; Aves; Passeriformes; Paridae
Description: lncRNA (ENSCCEG00000006289.1)
Source: RNAcentral